RNAcentral lists this non-coding RNA (117 nucleotides) under Frigoribacterium sp. RNAcentral describes it as "SAM-IV sequence". It matches the Rfam family "SAM (S-adenosyl methionine) riboswitch aptamer". From Rfam's summary of the family: SAM-IV is a mRNA element that regulates gene expression via direct sensing of S-adenosylmethionine (SAM or AdoMet). SAM-IV riboswitches share conserved nucleotide positions with the previously described SAM-I riboswitches sequence analysis and molecular recognition experiments suggest that SAM-I and SAM-IV riboswitches share similar ligand binding sites, but have different scaffolds. The record is from RNAcentral. RNAcentral also lists the same sequence under 1 other name. Lineage: Bacteria; Bacillati; Actinomycetota; Actinomycetes; Micrococcales; Microbacteriaceae.
GUUCAAGAGUCGCGAUCGUAGGUACCUGGCCGGUCGCGCGACAACCCGAAUCCAUCGAUUCCCGGGUGUCCCAGGGGAAGAACGGGCGGCACGGACUUCGUGUCGCAAGAUUCGAUG